RNAcentral lists this non-coding RNA (66 nucleotides) under unclassified sequences. Its description in RNAcentral is "MDR-NUDIX RNA". It matches the Rfam family "MDR-NUDIX RNA". The record is from RNAcentral.
AUGAUGAUUCGUGCCACUGCGAAUCCACUCUGCGACAUACGUCGAGACGAGCUCGACCACUAGCGC